RNAcentral lists this ribosomal RNA (219 nucleotides) under Salmonella enterica. RNAcentral describes it as "partial 16S ribosomal RNA". It matches the Rfam family "Bacterial small subunit ribosomal RNA", at positions 901 to 1119 of the family's 1533-position model. The record is from RNAcentral. Lineage: Bacteria; Pseudomonadati; Pseudomonadota; Gammaproteobacteria; Enterobacterales; Enterobacteriaceae.
UCAAAUGAAUUGACGGGGGCCCGCACAAGCGGUGGAGCAUGUGGUUUAAUUCGAUGCAACGCGAAGAACCUUACCUGGUCUUGACAUCCACGGAAGAAUUCAGAGAUGGAUUUGUGCCUUCGGGAACCGUGAGACAGGUGCUGCAUGGCUGUCGUCAGCUCGUGUUGUGAAAUGUUGGGUUAAGUCCCGCAACGAGCGCAACCCUUAUCCUUUGUUGCC